Molecule: ribosomal RNA, 492 nt
Filed under: uncultured bacterium
Lineage: Bacteria
Description: partial 16S ribosomal RNA
Rfam family: Bacterial small subunit ribosomal RNA
Source: RNAcentral
AGUGAACGCUGGCGGUAGGCCUAACACAUGCAAGUCGAACGGCAGCACAGUAAUAGCUUGCUCUUACGGGUGGCGAGUGGCGGACGGGUGAGGAAUACAUCGGAAUCUACUUUUUCGUGGGGGAUAACGUAGGGAAACUUACGCUAAUACCGCAUACGACCUACGGGUGAAAGCAGGGGAUCUUCGUACCUUGCUCGAUUGACUGAGCCGAUGUCGGAUUAGCUAGUUGGCGGGGUAAAGGCCCACCAAGGCGACGAUCCGUAGCUGGUCUGAGAGGAUGAUCAGCCACACGGGAACUGAGACACGGUCCAGACGCCUACGGGAGGCAGCAGAGGGGAAUAUUGGACAAAGGGCGCAAGCCUGAUCCAGCCAUACCGCGUGGGUGAAGAAGGCCUUCGGGUUGUAAAGCCCUUUUGUUGGGAAAGAAAAGCAGCAGGUUAAUAACCCGCUGUUCUGACGGUACCCAAAGAAUAAGCACCGGCUAACUUCGUG